Molecule: long non-coding RNA, 151 nt
Organism: Syngnathus acus (greater pipefish)
Lineage: Eukaryota; Metazoa; Chordata; Actinopteri; Syngnathiformes; Syngnathidae
Exons: 4
Source: RefSeq, a predicted model, not a curated record
AUGUUGUUGUAUGUAUUGAAACUAUGCAUUCAUGUAGACUCCCCCCAUUGUUGUUCCUCAAUAAAAGGCACGACCAAACUGGAGGAAGAGCGCGAAUCUCAGCCACACUUGCUGUGUGUGGUUUGCGCCCUUCUGCAGAAGAAAACGCUAA